GCUCCCGUGGCCUAGUUGGUCAUGGCAUUGGUCUUAUGAGCCGAGGAUCGCGGGUUCGAUCCCCGCCGGGAGCA
RNAcentral lists this transfer RNA (74 nucleotides) under Perkinsela sp. CCAP 1560/4. It matches the Rfam family "tRNA". From Rfam's summary of the family: Transfer RNA (tRNA) molecules are approximately 80 nucleotides in length. Their secondary structure includes four short double-helical elements and three loops (D, anti-codon, and T loops). Lineage: Eukaryota; Euglenozoa; Kinetoplastea; Prokinetoplastida; Perkinselidae. The record is from Rfam by way of RNAcentral.